UAGGGGACCGCACAAGCGGUGGAUGAUGUGGUUUAUUCGAUGCAACGCGAAAAACCUUACCCACCUUUGACAUGUACGGAAUCCUUUAAGAUAGAGGAGUGCUCGAAAGAGAGCCGUAACACAGGUGCUGCAUGGCUGUCGUCAGCUCGUGUCGUGAGAUGUUGGGUUAAGUCCCGCAACGAGCGCAACCCUUGCCAUUAGUUGCUACGAAAGGGCACUCUAAUGGGACUGCCGGUGACAAACCGGAGGAAGGUGGGGAUGACGUCAAGUCCUCAUGGCCCUUAUAGGUGGGGCUACACACGUCAUACAAUGGCUGGUACAGAGGGUUGCCAACCCGCGAGGGGGAGCUAAUCCCAUAAAGCCAGUCGUAGUCCGGAUCGCAGUCUGCAACUCGACUGCGUGAAGUCGGAAUCGCUAGUAAUCGCGGAUCAGAAUGUCGCGGUGAAUACGUUCCCGGGUCUUGUACACACCGCCCGUCACACCAUGGGAGCGGGUUCUGCCAGAAGUAGGUAGCCUAACCGUAAGGAGGGCGCUUACCACGGCAGGGUUCGUGACUGGGG
This 560-nucleotide ribosomal RNA is filed under the name Acidovorax sp. OPB1. Its description in RNAcentral is "bacterial SSU rRNA". It matches the Rfam family "Bacterial small subunit ribosomal RNA", at positions 914 to 1480 of the family's 1533-position model. Lineage: Bacteria; Pseudomonadati; Pseudomonadota; Betaproteobacteria; Burkholderiales; Comamonadaceae. The record is from RNAcentral.